Molecule: ribosomal RNA, 450 nt
Filed under: uncultured bacterium
Lineage: Bacteria
Description: bacterial SSU rRNA
Rfam family: Bacterial small subunit ribosomal RNA
Source: RNAcentral
GUGGGGAAUAUUGGACAAUGGGCGAAAGCCUGAUCCAGCCAUGCCGCGUGUGUGAAGAAGGCCUUCGGAUUGUAAAGCACUUUAAGUUGGGAGGAAGGGCAGUAAGUUAAUACCUUGCUGUUUUGACGUUACCGACAGAAUAAGCACCGGCUAACUUCGUGCCAGCAGCCGCGGUAAUACGAAGGGUGCAAGCGUUAAUCGGAAUUACUGGGCGUAAAGCGCGCGUAGGUGGUUUUGUAAGUUGGAGGUGAAAUCCCCGGGCUCAACCUGGGAACUGCCUCAAAAACUGCAUGACUAGAGUACGGUAGAGGGUAGUGGAAUUUCCUGUGUAGCGGUGAAAUGCGUAGAUAUAGGAAGGAACACCAGUGGCGAAGGCGACUACCUGGACUGAUACUGACACUGAGGUGCGAAAGCGUGGGGAGCAAACAGGAUUAGAAACCCCUGUAGUCC